UACGGAGGGGGCUAGCGUUGUUCGGAAUUACUGGGCGUAAAGAGCGCGUAGGCGGUUUAUCAAGUUGGGAGUGAAAUCCCAGGGCUUAACCCUGGAAUUGCUCUCAAAACUGAUAAUCUAGAGAGCGGUAGAGGAUGGUGGAAUUCCUAGUGUAGAGGUGAAAUUCUUAGAUAUUAGGAGGAACACCGGUGGCGAAGGCGGCCAUCUGGGCCGAAUCUGACGCUGAGGCGCGAAAGCGUGGGGAG
RNAcentral lists this ribosomal RNA (245 nucleotides) under uncultured Rickettsia sp. Its description in RNAcentral is "partial 16S ribosomal RNA". It matches the Rfam family "Bacterial small subunit ribosomal RNA", at positions 524 to 768 of the family's 1533-position model. The record is from RNAcentral. Lineage: Bacteria; Pseudomonadati; Pseudomonadota; Alphaproteobacteria; Rickettsiales; Rickettsiaceae.